AGGGUAUGAUCUUGGCUCAGAACGAACGCUGGCGGCGUGGAUUAGGCAUGCAAGUCGAACGAGGGAGUGUCUCGAAAGGGGCGCAAACCGAGUGGCGUAAGGGUGAGUAAUGCAUUGAUAACCUGCCUUUGAGAUGGGAAUAACAACGUUCCAAGCAAUUGGGGCUACCGAAAGGGUUGCUAAUACCCAAUAAAACUAUUGCUGCUAUUGGUGGUAAUAGUCAAAUAAAUGGGGUCGAAAGAUUUCAUUUGCUCGAAGAGGGGUCAAUGUCCUAUCAGCUAGUUGGUAGAGUAAUAGCCUACCAAGGCAAAGACGGGUAGCCGGCCUGAGAGGGUGGUCGGCCACACUGGGACUGAGACACUGCCCAGACUCCUACGGGAGGCUGCAGUCGAGAAUCUUUCGCAAUGCCCGAAAGGGUGACGAAGCGACGCCGCGUGCGGGAAGAAGGCCUUCGGGUUGUAAACCGCUGUCGGGAGUUAAGAAAUGCAAGGAUGUUAAUAGCAUCUUUGUUUGACUAAGGCUCCGGAGGAAGCCACGGCUAACUCUGUGCCAGCAGCCGCGGUAAUACAGAGGCGGCAAGCGUUGUUCGGAAUUAUUGGGCGUAAAGAGCACGUAGGCGGCUGUGUAAGUCGGUUGUGAAAGCCUUCCGCUUAACGGAAGAACGGCAUCCGAUACUGCAUAGCUCGAGUGCGGGAGGGGAGAGUGGAACUUCUGGUGGAGCGGUGAAAUGCGUAGAUAUCAGAAGGAACACCGGCGGCGAAGGCGACUCUCUGGCCCGUAACUGACGCUGAGUGUGCGAAAGCUAGGGGAGCAAACGGGAUUAGAUACCCCGGUAGUCCUAGCCGUAAACGAUGGGCACUAGGUAGAGGGGUUUUGAUUAUCUCUCUGCCGGAGCUAACGCAUUAAGUGCCCCGCCUGGGGAGUACGGCCGCAAGGCUAAAACUCAAAAGAAUUGACGGGGGCUCGCACAAGCGGUGGAGCAUGUGGCUUAAUUCGAUGCAACGCGAAGAACCUUACCGGGGUUUGACAUGGUGGAAGUAGGAGCCCGAAAGGGCAACGAACGGUAUCCAGUCCGUAACUAUCACAGGUGUUGCAUGGCUGUCGUCAGCUCGUGUCGUGAGACGUUGGGUUAAGUCCCCUAACGAGCGAAACCCUUGUCUUUAGUUGCCAACAGGUCAUGCUGGGUACUCUAAAGAGACUGCCGUCGUCAAGACGGAGGAAGGUGGGGAUGACGUCAAGUCAUCAUGGCCCUUAUAUCCCGGGCUGCACACGUGCUACAAUGGUCGGUACAAAGGGAUGCUAAACCGCAAGGCGGAGCGAAACCCAGAAAGCCGAUCUCAGUUCAGAUUGGAGGCUGAAACCCGCCUCCAUGAAGUAGGAAUCGCUAGUAAUCGCGGAUCAGCUACGCCGCGGUGAAUAUGUUCCCGAGCCUUGUACACACCGCCCGUCAAGCCACCCAAGCAAGAUGCACCCAAAAUCAUUGGCCUAACCAGCAAUGGAGGGAAGUGCUUAAGGUGUGUUUUGUGAGGAGGACUAAGUCGUAACAAGGUAGUCGUAGGAGAACCUGCGGCUG
This 1573-nucleotide ribosomal RNA is filed under the name Candidatus Brocadia sp. UTAMX2. Its description in RNAcentral is "bacterial SSU rRNA". It matches the Rfam family "Bacterial small subunit ribosomal RNA". Lineage: Bacteria; Pseudomonadati; Planctomycetota; Candidatus Brocadiia; Candidatus Brocadiales; Candidatus Brocadiaceae. The record is from RNAcentral.